GAUGGGUAGGGGAGCUUCCCAUACGGGUUGAAGCAUGACCGUAAGGACAUGUGGACAGUAUGGGAGUGAGAAUGUUGGCAUGAGUAGCGAGAUGUGGGUGAGAAUCCCACAGGCCGUAAACCCAAGGUUUCCAGGGGAAGGUUCGUCCGCCCUGGGUUAGUCGGGACCUAAGCUGAGGCCGAAAGGCGUAGGUGAUGGACAACAGGUUGAUAUUCCUGUACUACCGAUAACCGUUUGAGAGAUGGGAUGACACAGUAGGAUAAGCUAAGCACACUGUUGGUUAUGUGUGCCCAAGCAUUGAGGCAGUCAAAGUAGGUAAAUCCGCUUUGAUAAUGCUGGGAUGUGAUGGGGAGCGAAAUUUAGUAGCGAAGUAGCUGAUUUCACACUGUCAAGAAAAGUCUCUAUCGAGGUUAAAGGUACCCGUACCGCAAACCGACACAGGUGGGUGAGGAGAGUAUCCUAAGGCCCGCGAGAGAACUGUUGUUAAGGAACUCGGCAAAAUGACCCCGUAACUUAGGGAUAAGGGGUGCCACCAU
RNAcentral lists this ribosomal RNA (536 nucleotides) under Clostridioides sp. ZZV14-6345. RNAcentral describes it as "partial 23S ribosomal RNA". It matches the Rfam family "Bacterial large subunit ribosomal RNA", at positions 1223 to 1757 of the family's 2925-position model. The record is from RNAcentral. Lineage: Bacteria; Bacillati; Bacillota; Clostridia; Peptostreptococcales; Peptostreptococcaceae.